UCUUGUGAUGAGGGAGUCUGAGG
Molecule: microRNA, 23 nt
Filed under: Bos taurus (domestic cattle)
Lineage: Eukaryota; Metazoa; Chordata; Mammalia; Artiodactyla; Bovidae
Description: bta-miR-2356
Source: miRBase by way of RNAcentral